Molecule: ribosomal RNA, 303 nt
Filed under: uncultured bacterium
Lineage: Bacteria
Description: bacterial SSU rRNA
Rfam family: Bacterial small subunit ribosomal RNA
Source: RNAcentral
UGAGGAAUAUUGGUCAAUGGGCGCAAGCCUGAACCAGCCAAGUCGCGUGAGGGAAGACGGCCCUACGGGUUGUAAACCUCUUUUGCCGGGGAGCAAGCCUGAGCACGUGUGCCCAGGCGGAGAGUACCCGGAGAAAAAGCAUCGGCUAACUCCGUGCCAGCAGCCGCGGUAAUACGGAGGAUGCGAGCGUUAUCCGGAUUUAUUGGGUUUAAAGGGUGCGCAGGCGGGCUGUUAAGCCGGCGGUAAAAAUUCAGGGCUCAACCCUGUCGAGCCGUCGGAACUGGCAGUCUUGAGUGGGCGAGA